Molecule: ribosomal RNA, 852 nt
Filed under: uncultured bacterium
Lineage: Bacteria
Description: bacterial SSU rRNA
Rfam family: Bacterial small subunit ribosomal RNA
Source: RNAcentral
GGGUGCGUAGGCGGCCUGUUAAGUUUAUGGUGAAAGCGUGGGGCUCAACCCCAUAAAGCCAUAGAUACUGGCAGGCUAGAGUACUGGAGAGGGAAGUGGAAUUCCAUGUGUAGCGGUAAAAUGCGUAGAUAUAUGGAGGAACACCGGUGGCGAAGGCGGCUUCCUAGACAGAGACUGACGCUGAGGCACGAAAGCGUGGGGAGCAAAUAGGAUUAGAUACCCUAGUAGUCCACGCUGUAAACGAUGAGUGCUAAGUAUUGGGGCGACUCAGUGCUGCAGUUAACGCAAUAAGCACUCCGCCUGUGGAGUAUGCACGCAAGUGUGAAACAUAAAGGAAUUGACGGGGGCCCGCACAAGCGGUGGAGUAUGUGGUUUAAUUCGACGCAACGCGAAGAACCUUACCAGGCCUUGACAUCCCUUGCAAAGGUGCAGAGAUGUACUAGAGGUUAUCAAGGAGACAGGUGGUGCAUGGUUGUCGUCAGCUCGUGUCGUGAGAUGUUGGGUUAAGUCCCGCAACGAGCGCAACCCUUGCCUUCAGUUACCAAUAUUCAGUUAGGGACUCUGGAGGGACUGCCGGUGAUAAACCGGAGGAAGGUGGGGAUGACGUCAAAUCAUCAUGCCCCUUAUGGCCUGGGCUACACACGUACUACAAUGGCUGUUACAACGAGCAGCGACAUGGCGACAUGAAGCAAAUCUCUUAAAGACAGUCCCAGUUCGGAUUGGAGUCUGCAACUCGACUCCAUGAAGUUGGAAUCGCUAGUAAUCGCGGAUCAGCAUGCCGCGGUGAAUACGUUCUCGGGCCUUGUACACACCGCCCGUCAUACCAUGAGAGCUGGUAAUACCCGAAGCCGG